AGCGGGCCACGCCUCCCCAACGAGGCGCGUGCUAUCUGUGAGGAUAGGAA
RNAcentral lists this non-coding RNA (50 nucleotides) under Ochrobactrum quorumnocens. RNAcentral's name for it is "serC leader". It matches the Rfam family "serC leader". From Rfam's summary of the family: This family is a putative regulatory RNA structure that is found upstream of the serC-serA operon in some alpha-proteobacteria. The final stem of the structure overlaps the ribosome binding site of the serC reading frame. The record is from RNAcentral. RNAcentral also lists the same sequence under 1 other name. Lineage: Bacteria; Pseudomonadati; Pseudomonadota; Alphaproteobacteria; Hyphomicrobiales; Brucellaceae.